GAAGUUGGAUACUUAACCGACUGAGCUACCCAGCUGCCCCAGAAAUGAGCCAUUUCUUAAAAAGAAAUUCCUUUCCCUGCUGACCUGAUCUUGUGCCUUGGUUAAAAAUUAAUUGACUUUAAAUAUGUAGUUUCUUUCUGGGCUCUCUGUACUGCUCCAAUGAUCCAUGUUUAUCCUUCUAAUUUCACUCUGUCUUUGUUAGUGUAGCGUUACAAUAAAUCUUGCAAUUAGGUAGUGUAAGUCCUCCAGUUUUCUUAUUUUCCAACAUUUAAAACUAAAUUUAGGUAGUUUGUUUUUAUUUCAUUUUCCAAAUUUUUGUCCUUAGUAUAUACAUAUUCAACUAAUUUUUGUGCACUGUCCUUAUAUCCUGUGACCUUGGUAUUUUGAUCUAGCUGAGGUUUUAUAAGUGCACCAUGGUCUUUGUAAAAAGAUCAUUUUACAUCUUCCCUUCCAAUCUUUAUGUCUUAUAUUUCUUUUUCUUGCUGAAUUGCACUGAGUAGGGCUUUUGGUAUUUAAGAAUGGAAGUGCUUAUCUCUGUAUUUAUCCUGCUUGGGUUUGCUAAGCAAACUUGGAUAUGUAAGUCGAUAUCCUUCAUCAAUGUUGGAAAAUUCUCAGUCAUUAUUUCUUCACAUAUUUCUUCUGACCCAGUCUCACUGUAUCCUUCUAGGACCCAAGUUCCACUUGUGGUAGUCCAUUUGCUAUUGUCCUACAGAUCUAGGAUGUGCUGUUUCAUUUUUUUCACACUGCUUCCUUCUCUGUGUUUCAGUGUAUUGUUCAUUUUCACAAUCCUUGAUCCUUUCCUUUACUGUGUCUAGAAUCUGUUAAAGCCCUAAAAUGAAUUCUCUAUUCCCGAUUUCUGAUACCAUGGUUUUCAUUUCCAUUGGAUAGAUAGAUUAAUAGAUAGUUAUAGAUAGAUAGCAUGUAUUUCCCAUCUGUUCAAACCAGUUCCCCUUUUCCAGUAGAUCUCCUAAAAUCUUUAUUGUAGUUAUUGAAAAGAUCCUGUCCCGUAAUUCCAACAUCCAGGCCAUUUUCAGACCUGCUUCCGUUGACUAUUUCCUCUCUUGGCUAUACACUAAACCACAUUUUUCUUGAUUUUCUAGCAUCUCAUAUUUUUAAUUAUUUAGUUGUAUGUUCUAUAUUGUAUGUGAAACUACAGUAGAGACUGAAGUAGAUAAUAUUCAGUGUUCAGUAAAGUUCAAAUCUCUUUUUUGUCAGGCUGCUAGAGUGGAGACUGGGUGAAUUUUAUCUGUAUUUGAAUUGAGUCUGGGCUUCUUUUGCCAAGAUACUGCUAGAUUCCAUGCAAUAUAUGAUUUCAUAUAUUAAGAAGGCUAGAUCAGGAUUUUAUCACCAUCAGGGCUCGGGAUGUGGGGACAAGCAAGGAUCUGAGAACCUCCUUAUACUUUACAGUAAGUCUCCAGCUUUCUAAAUUGUGGAAGAUCUCUUUCUGAUUUACAGCCUAAUUGUGAGGUGAGGUGUUUGGGGGUCUCUUUGCUCUUUAGUCCCAUGCUGGCUCUCUGCACAUUGGGAGAUAUCUCUUUACCAUUCUUCUCUGCCCUUAGACUUCAAAGUGUCAUUGUAGUGCACUUGGUAAAGGCCAAGAAUACCUCACAGGGAUUUCUGUCUGUUCUCUGACUCUAACCCUAGCUUUUCAUGGGCCAUUGACUCGCAUUUGGAGAAUGUGCCUCACAUGCCUCAGGGACUGGGGGUUUCUCUCAGUUCUCCUCCUAACCCCAUCCUUUGACUGAAUAACCACAUGUACUUGGUGAAGGCCUGUGGGAGAGUUUGUAGACGGGUACAGAUUCUGUGGCUAGAACUGACAAAAGACAGGAUCUUUGGGAUUCUAACCUAUCAUUCUGGCCUCCAUGUGGCCAUUAAAGUUCACUAAAAUUCAGACUGGUUUCUUCUCACCCUCACCUGCAGCUCCACUAGACAUGAACAUAACUAUGGGUGUCCUCUUUGAAAGGGCUGGUUGCUUUCUGGAAUCAGUUUAUUUCUAUUUCUUUGCUCACUAAGUUUUUUUAACGACUAGUAUUGGAAGAGCAGCCUAUUGCAGCUUUCUACAUCCUAGCCAGACUUAGUUAUCUUUUCAGGCUAGAUUUUCUUCUCCCUGAAAUAAGAAGAUGCAUUCCUCUAGGAAAAUGAGCCUGUCAAACACCGAGAAUACUGUCUCAUGCAGAGUAGGACCUCAGUACAUGUGCGUUGAAGGAAAUGUGAAUAAAAUAGUAGAAGAUCUCAAAGAGUACUAAUUUAAAAAUUGUUGAAAUGGCAGCACAGUUCUUCUAAGAGAGUGAAAUGUUUCAAGUCCUUUUCCCUACUUCCUUAAAUAAACCCACACGGUAGGUUGUUUCUGGAGGAUAUUUAAUGAUGCUCCUAUGUCCCUAUUCUUAUCUUAAACUUGAUAACAUCUUUUCCUGCUUUCUUCUGGGUAAAAUCCACCAGGAUAGUUUCCAGGAAUUCAUUGUUUAAUUUCAUUCUUACUGGUAUGACAUUACUGUCAUCUCUAUAGCUAUGCCUUUUACACACACUCACGCGCGCGCGCGCGCGCGCGCACACACACACACACACACACUUUACACAACGGUAUAUAUUCAAUUCUUUUUUUCUUUAAUGGCUUAUAUUAGAGCCCUUUAACUGAAACACAUAUCUCUUAUCUGACCUUCUUAUCUCAUUCCCUCCCAUCUUGAUUUUUAUUUAUGAUCCUGGGGCUUUUAUUCAACGGAUGUAUCUGCGUGUUUCCAACGGACCAAAUAUUGUGGAUAUGCAGUUCCUGCAAUUACGUAAAGCUGGCUUUUACUCAGAAGCACGCAGUGCAUACCAGAACCAGAACCUGCAGCAUUUCUCAGUGUCUGACUUGUGGUGAAGUGUGAACAAAUGUCCACGCCCGGAAGAGCAGGUUCCUGUGAGAAAGGUGGGCAGAUGUCUUACUCAGGGCCACGUGGUGGGAGGAACGCUGUUCUAAAUCUCUCAUGGCAUCGUGGUGUCCGAGCUGCUGGCUGGAAGCAGUUUCCUGCCUCAGCCUGACUUGACCUGGGAGAGGACAUGCUGAGUAUACAGUUUCCCCAGGGGCGGGCAGGGUGAGCCACUUGUUAGGUUGGAUGCUCAAAUAAAAAAGCAGGCAUUACGAACGAGCCAGAUACCAAGACGGAUCGAGCCCUGCAAAGCAAGUGGAGAGGCUUGCUCAGCACCGUCCCAAGCUAUCGAGAAAGACACUCGUGGUAAAUCACAUGAAAAUCCCACGCUCCAAAGCCUCCCCUGAAAUUUAAGAAAACUUGGGACGAUGAUAUCUUUGCUAAUAUUUCUAUUACUUGAAACAUAUUCAAGAGAAGACAAGAGUUGGGAGACGUUACCCAUCGUACUUCCUGUAACAUGCCCAGCAGCCACGUGAGCAGACUAAUAAACAGAAUUCUACUUUGUA
Long non-coding RNA from Herpailurus yagouaroundi (jaguarundi), 3415 nucleotides. RefSeq lists it as uncharacterized. The record is from RefSeq and is a predicted model, not a curated record. Lineage: Eukaryota; Metazoa; Chordata; Mammalia; Carnivora; Felidae. The transcript has 2 exons.